This is an RNA transcript of Perca fluviatilis (European perch), 1684 nucleotides long. RefSeq lists it as uncharacterized. Lineage: Eukaryota; Metazoa; Chordata; Actinopteri; Perciformes; Percidae. The record is from RefSeq and is a predicted model, not a curated record. The transcript has 6 exons.
ACAGGACAGACAGAACAACAGACAGAACAGCAACAGACAGGACAGACAGAACUGCACCUGAUAGAUUUGCUUGUUGCCGAUUCUGAUUCAGAACAAGGACAGACAGAACGACAGGCAGAAAACCACCAACAGCAGCAGUUCGAGCAGAGGUCGAAGAUUAGAGCCUUACUAUACAACUAUAACUAUACAUGAACCAAGAGUUCAUGUAUAGUUAACGAAGCACUGGCACCACAUUUCAUGAAUGAGUUGGUGGUACAAAUGAGGGAAGGGCCAUACACCCUCAUCACAGAUGGAUCCAAUGACACAGGAGUAGAGAAGAUGAACCCCCUGACUGUCCGGAUGUUUAUGAAUGAAAAAAUUGUCCACCGCUUCCUGGGGAUGUGUACUACUAGCGGAACAAGGUGUGGGACAGCAGACAUCAUCUUCAGCAAGAUAAAUGCCACCUUAGCAGAAAAGGCUAUCCCAUGGAAAAACUGUGUGGGUCUCUCUGUGGACAAUGCUGCUGUGAACAUAGGUUCAAAGAAUUCCAUCACCUCCAGAAUCCUGAACGAACACUCCAGUAUUUACGUUCAUGGUUGCCCGUGUCAUAUAGUCCACAACACCACUAAAAGAGCUGGGAUGGGAUUUUUGGACGGGAGUAUAGGCCUAAUUGUACUUUACAUACAACUGUCCAAAUUUGAUCUGGAGGACUUGGUAAUUGAUGUUGGCUACUGGUUCAAGGGUAGCACAAACCGAAAGGGGUACUUGACAGAUGAUAAUCAGGCAAGGUUCAGGAGACUUCAGAAGGCAUUCUCUGACCCCAUGACGGAGGUGUACCUACUGUUCUUCCAGGCUACCAUACCAGUAUUCACCUCAUUCAACCUCCUGCUCCAGAGAGAACAGUCCUCAAUAUUUUUGUUACAUGAUGAGAUGAUGAACUUCAUUCGCAAGCUGUGCACCAAGUUCACGGUGCCUUCCAGCGCUGCAGGAAGACAAACCGCUCUUGCUUUUUAAAGAAAAGGCAAACCAUUUGCCAGGUUUCCCAACCUGCUCCCCUACCAUGGGCCUCAGGAGUAUAACCUACUGAAUGAUGAGUUCCUGGAAUACCAGACUAUGCCAAUACCACCCUUGCAGGCCCCAGAGGAAAUUGAGAUGGAGAGCUUCUGGGCUGAAAUGGCUACCCGAAAACACAAGGUGACUGGUGUAAGCCUGUUCCCGGGGCUUGCCACCAUUGCCAAGAUUGUCCUGGUGCUCCCCCAUUCAAAUGCUGAUGCGGACAGAGUGUUUUCUGUGGUGGGACUAAACAAGACCAAGACCAGAAACAGCCUUGCUCUGGAUGGCACCCUUUCAUCAAUAAUGACGAUAAAAAUGGCUGGAGCCCUGCUUCAAGUGGGAGACCCCCCAGCAAUCAUCAAGGCCUCUAAGAAGGCAGUUCAGUAUAACAAGGCACACAGAUCUUAAAGAUCCCGUGUGUAAAGUGUUUAGUUGUUCAAAAUCUGUGUAGCUCAUUCACAAACUUCAUGAAUAUUUACCUCCACCAUCAAUUCCAAGUAUUCCUAUUGGCUUGAAAUUUUACAUUUGCAUUCGCAUGAACUGGAGUAGACGCGCCAUAUUCAUGCACCAUCUUGAAACACGUUAGCCAGUAAGGGACAUACAGGACAUACUGCUCCGCCUUUCACGUUUUCUCUGUCACAUGAUAAAUUCA